AAUGGUAUAUAUUUACAUUUUUUAUAGACCCGUUGUGUAACGGUAGCACAGCAGAUUUUGGUUCUGUUAGUUGGGGUUCGAGUCCCUACGGGUCUGU
Molecule: transfer RNA, 97 nt
Filed under: Blattabacterium sp. (Cryptocercus punctulatus) str. Cpu
Lineage: Bacteria; Pseudomonadati; Bacteroidota; Flavobacteriia; Flavobacteriales; Blattabacteriaceae
Description: tRNA-Gln
Rfam family: tRNA (bases 26-96)
About the family: Transfer RNA (tRNA) molecules are approximately 80 nucleotides in length. Their secondary structure includes four short double-helical elements and three loops (D, anti-codon, and T loops).
Source: RNAcentral